This 253-nucleotide ribosomal RNA is filed under the name uncultured bacterium. Its description in RNAcentral is "partial 16S ribosomal RNA". It matches the Rfam family "Bacterial small subunit ribosomal RNA", at positions 524 to 776 of the family's 1533-position model. The record is from RNAcentral.
UACGAGGGGGGCUAGUGUUGUUCGGAAUCACUGGGCGUAAAGGGAGCGUAGGCGGGAGCCUAAGUUGGGCGUUUAAUUCCGGGGCCCAACCCCGGGCGUGCACUCAAAACUGGGUUUCUUGAAUAGGGGAGAGGUCGGUGGAAUUGGAGGUGUAGCGGUGGAAUGCGUAGAGAUCUCCAAGAACACCCGUUGCGAAGGCGGCCGACUGGACCCAUAUUGACGCUGAGGCUCGAAAGCAUGGGGAGCAAACAGG